RNAcentral lists this ribosomal RNA (253 nucleotides) under uncultured bacterium. RNAcentral's name for it is "partial 16S ribosomal RNA". It matches the Rfam family "Bacterial small subunit ribosomal RNA", at positions 524 to 776 of the family's 1533-position model. The record is from RNAcentral.
UACGGGGGGGGCAAGCGUUGUUCGGAAUUACUGGGCGUAAAGGGCUCGUAGGCGGCCAACUAAGUCAGACGUGAAAUCCCUCGGCUUAACCGAGGAACUGCGUCUGAUACUGGAUGGCUUGAAUCCGGGAGAGGGAUGUGGAAUUCCAGGUGUAGCGGUGAAAUGCGUAGAUAUCUGGAGGAACACCGGUGGCGAAGGCGGCAUCCUGGACCGGCAUUGACGCUGAGGCGCGAAAGCCAGGGGAGCAAACGGG